This 567-nucleotide ribosomal RNA is filed under the name uncultured Actinomycetes bacterium. Its description in RNAcentral is "bacterial SSU rRNA". It matches the Rfam family "Bacterial small subunit ribosomal RNA", at positions 338 to 916 of the family's 1533-position model. The record is from RNAcentral. Lineage: Bacteria; Bacillati; Actinomycetota; Actinomycetes.
CCUACGGGAGGCAGCAGUAGGGAAUAUUGGGCAAUGGGCGCAAGCCUGACCCAGCGACGCCGCGUGAGGGAUGAAGGCCUUCGGGUUGUAAACCUCUUUCAGUAGGGAAGAAGCGAAAGUGACGGUACCUAAAGAAGAAGCACCGGCUAACUAUGUGCCAGCAGCCGCGGUAAUACAUAGGGUGCAAGCGUUGUCCGGAAUUAUUGGGCGUAAAGAGCUCGUAGGUCGUUUGCCGCGUCGAUUGUGAAAAUCUGAGGCUCAACCUCAGACCUGCAGUCGAUACGGGCAAACUAGAGUGUGGUAGGGGAGACUGGAAUUCCUGGUGUAGCGGUGGAAUGCGCAGAUAUCAGGAGGAACACCAAUGGCGAAGGCAGGUCUCUGGGCCAUAACUGACACUGAGGAGCGAAAGCGCGGGGAGCGAACAGGAUUAGAUACCCUGGUAGUCCGCGCCGUAAACGAUGGGCACUAGCUGUGAGAGCCUUCCACGGUUCUCGCGACGCAGCAAACGCAUUAAGUGCCCCGCCUGGGGAGUACGAUCGCAAGACUAAAACUCAAAGGAAUUGACGG